Molecule: ribosomal RNA, 253 nt
Filed under: uncultured bacterium
Lineage: Bacteria
Description: partial 16S ribosomal RNA
Rfam family: Bacterial small subunit ribosomal RNA
Source: RNAcentral
UACGUAGGGCGCAAGCGUUGUCCGGAAUUAUUGGGCGUAAAGAGCUCGUAGGCGGUUUGUCGCGUCUGCUGUGAAAACUGGGGGCUCAACCCCCAGCCUGCAGUGGGUACGGGCAGACUAGAGUGCGGUAGGGGAGAUUGGAAUUCCUGGUGUAGCGGUGGAAUGCGCAGAUAUCAGGAGGAACACCGAUGGCGAAGGCAGAUCUCUGGGCCGUAACUGACGCUGAGGAGCGAAAGCGUGGGGAGCGAACAGG